This 67-nucleotide transfer RNA is filed under the name Stenopirates sp. NKU01. Its description in RNAcentral is "tRNA-Val". The record is from RNAcentral. Lineage: Eukaryota; Metazoa; Arthropoda; Insecta; Hemiptera; Enicocephalidae.
AAAUUGUUUUUUAAGAAAAUAUUAUUAUUUACAUUAAUAAUUUUAUUGUGCAAUUCAAUUCGGUUUA